AGAACCCUUCAAAGUUUUCUGCACAUAACUUCAGAAUUCGUGUGUGCUAAAAGCAUACAAGUUUCUGUAAGUGUGAUUCCGUGUACACUAACUGUUCAACUGAAAACCAGUACAAUGCUAGAAGGAAAGAAAAGUAUUAGAACAAAAUGCAAAUUUAUAGAUCUAUAAUGCAAAAAUACCACAAAUGAACUGACUUAGAACACAUGAAAUACCACAACUCUACCACUUCAAAACGCAAACAUCAAAUAUGCCACUAAAAUUUAGUUUACUCCAUUGGAGAUAAAACAGGGACAAGGAUGAGAUGGAUCUUAUCCAUCUAAAGGGCAGAUGAUAUGUACAAACGACUGACUGAAAAGUAAACAAGACUAUCUCAUAUAAUUCGGAGCCCUCCUUUCUCUUUUAUUAAUCUGCUGACAUGCAUAUCUCACUCAUUUCAAAUGAAUCCGAUGACUAUUUUCUGAGAAGUCCCACAAACGAAAUGAUCAACAGCCGCGGCCAAAAUAUGAAUUGCACCUAGCCCAGCUAAAGCACUCCCAAAAUCUCUUCUUGUUCUUCCCUGAAAGCCUAGCAUUUUCAGUUUCAUUUCUUCUCAGCAUCUCCCACAUAAUACGAACAUCCUCAUAUUCACAAGCCCUUACAUCAUGAUGUAGUUUCAGCAGCCCUAUCAUUUCCCCGCCGGAAACAUUAGAUAAUUUUGAAAAGGAAAAUUGAGUAAAUCAAAACAUAUGCUGCAAAUCAAUUUCCUAAACCAUCAAAGGCAGAACACACUGGUCCUGUUAGCUAAUUUUAAAGAACUACAUAAUUCCCCAAAAGAAAUCAUGUGUGUCCCGUUUUGACCAUUUCAUCAAAUGGAAUCCCUCUCCCAAUCCCUGACCAAUUUUAUAAAAUAGAAAAAGAUCAAGACGACUGUUAAUUUGAAAACAAAUUUAAGAUAGAAGGACCAGAAGAAUAGGCCAAAUUCAAUAUUCUCUGUAAUGCAGAACAGGUUUUGACUAUUACUCCGACAAAAUUCAAGAUUGGCUGCCAAGCAUAAUGUGAUAGUAGCAGCCUGCUCACUCCCAUCCGCCAGUGUCAAAAAUUUUCACAGAAAGGAUGAAGGAUCAUCACAAAAUUGUUAACAAUUUAUCUAGGGACAGUGCUAUUGAUCAUUUUAUAUUGCAACUCUGCAUCUUAUGGAACUAAAUCAAAACACAGUUGAAUUUGAAAUCAGCUUGAUAUAUUUUUUGAAUUAAACAUGUACUGAUACGAUAACAUCAAAUUGAAAUAAACGCAGAUCGCCAAAAAAACGCGAAGGCACUGCUACUUUCACCGACAAUGCAAACUUCUAGCAAUUAAAACGAAGAUCUUGUGAUUGAAAAACAUUCCCAU
This 1368-nucleotide unclassified non-coding RNA is filed under the name Hevea brasiliensis (rubber tree). Lineage: Eukaryota; Viridiplantae; Streptophyta; Magnoliopsida; Malpighiales; Euphorbiaceae. The record is from RNAcentral.